RNAcentral lists this ribosomal RNA (505 nucleotides) under uncultured bacterium. RNAcentral describes it as "partial 16S ribosomal RNA". It matches the Rfam family "Bacterial small subunit ribosomal RNA", at positions 28 to 507 of the family's 1533-position model. The record is from RNAcentral.
GACGAACGCUGGCGGCGUGCCUAAUACAUGCAAGUAGAACGCACAGUUUAUACCGUAGCUUGCUACACCAUAGACUGUGAGUUGCGAACGGGUGAGUAACGCGUAGGUAACCUGCCUGGUAGCGGGGGAUAACUAUUGGAAACGAUAGCUAAUACCGCAUAAUAUUGAUUAUUGCAUGAUAAUUGAUUGAAAGAUGCUAUUGCAUCACUACCAGAUGGACCUGCGUUGUAUUAGCUAGUAGGUGAGGUAACGGCUCACCUAGGCGACGAUACAUAGCCGACCUGAGAGGGUGAUCGGCCACACUGGGACUUAGACACGGCCCAGACUCCUACGGGAGGCAGCAGUAGGGAAUCUUCGGCAAUGGACGAAAGUCUGACCGAGCAACGCCGCGUGAGUGAAGAAGGUCUUCGGAUCGUAAAGCUCUGUUGUAAGAGAAGAACGGGUGUGAGAGUGGAAAGUUCACACUGUGACGGUAUCUUACCAGAAAGGGACGGCUAACUACGUG